ACGGGAGGCAGCAGUGGGGAAUAUUGCACAAUGGGGGAAACCCUGAUGCAGCAACGCCGCGUGAAGGAUGAAGGCCUUUGGGUCGUAAACUUCUGUUCUAAGGGAAGAUAGUGACGGUACCUUAGGAGCAAGUCCCGGCUAACUACGUGCCAGCAGCCGCGGUAAUACGUAGGGGGCAAGCGUUAUCCGGAAUUAUUGGGCGUAAAGAGUACGUAGGUGGUUUUCUAAGCACGGGGUUUAAGGCAAUGGCUUAACCAUUGUUCGCCUUGUGAACUGGAAGACUUGAGUGCAGGAGAGGAAAGCGGAAUUCCUAGUGUAGCGGUGAAAUGCGUAGAUAUUAGGAGGAACACCAGUGGCGAAGGCGGCUUUCUGGACUGUAACUGACACUGAGGUACGAAAGCGUGGGGAGCAAACAGGAUUAGAUACCCUGGUA
This 433-nucleotide ribosomal RNA is filed under the name uncultured bacterium. RNAcentral describes it as "bacterial SSU rRNA". It matches the Rfam family "Bacterial small subunit ribosomal RNA", at positions 341 to 792 of the family's 1533-position model. The record is from RNAcentral.